GAUGAACGCUGGCGGCGUGCCUAAUACAUGCAAGUCGAGCGAACAGACGAGGAGCUUGCUCCUCUGACGUUAGCGGCGGACGGGUGAGUAACACGUGGAUAACCUACCUAUAAGACUGGGAUAACUUCGGGAAACCGGAGCUAAUACCGGAUAAUAUAUUGAACCGCAUGGUUCAAUAGUGAAAGACGGUUUUGCUGUCACUUAUAGAUGGAUCCGCGCCGCAUUAGCUAGUUGGUAAGGUAACGGCUUACCAAGGCAACGAUGCGUAGCCGACCUGAGAGGGUGAUCGGCCACACUGGAACUGAGACACGGUCCAGACUCCUACGGGAGGCAGCAGUAGGGAAUCUUCCGCAAUGGGCGAAAGCCUGACGGAGCAACGCCGAGUGAGUGAUGAAGGUCUUCGGAUCGUAAAACUCUGUUAUUAGGGAAGAACAAAUGUGUAAGUAACUGUGCACGUCUUGACGGUACCUAAUCAGAAAGCCACGGCUAACUACGUG
Molecule: ribosomal RNA, 497 nt
Filed under: uncultured bacterium
Lineage: Bacteria
Description: partial 16S ribosomal RNA
Rfam family: Bacterial small subunit ribosomal RNA
Source: RNAcentral